GCCGGGAUAGCUCAGCUGGUAGAGCGCAUCACUUGUAAUGAUGAGGUCGCCGGUUCGAUCCCGGCUCUCGGCU
RNAcentral lists this transfer RNA (73 nucleotides) under Leptolyngbya sp. RNAcentral describes it as "tRNA-Thr". It matches the Rfam family "tRNA". Rfam says of the family: Transfer RNA (tRNA) molecules are approximately 80 nucleotides in length. Their secondary structure includes four short double-helical elements and three loops (D, anti-codon, and T loops). The record is from RNAcentral. RNAcentral also lists the same sequence under 5 other names. Lineage: Bacteria; Bacillati; Cyanobacteriota; Cyanophyceae; Leptolyngbyales; Leptolyngbyaceae.